AUUGAACGCUGGCGGAAUGCUUUACACAUGCAAGUCGAACGGCAGCACGGACUUCGGUCUGGUGGCGAGUGGCGAACGGGUGAGUAAUGUAUCGGAACGUGCCCAGUCGUGGGGGAUAACGUAGUGAAAAUUACGCUAAUACCGCAUACGAUCUAUGGAUGAAAGCGGGGGAUCGCAAGACCUCGCGCGAUUGGAGCGGCCGAUAUCAGAUUAGGUAGUUGGUGGGGUAAAGGCCCACCAAGCCAACGAUUUGCAGCUGGUCUGAGAGGACGACCAGCCACACUGGAACUGAGACACGGUCCAGACUCCUACGGGAGGCAGCUGGGGAAUUUUGGACAAUGGGCGAAAGCCUGAUCCAGCCAUUCCGCGUGCAGGAUGAAGGCCCUCGGGUUGUAAACUGCUUUUGUACAGAACGAAAAGGUUUCUACUAAUACUAGGAGCUCAUGACGGUACUGUAAGAAUAAGCACCGGCUAACUACGUGCCAGCCGCCGCAGUAA
Molecule: ribosomal RNA, 498 nt
Filed under: uncultured bacterium
Lineage: Bacteria
Description: partial 16S ribosomal RNA
Rfam family: Bacterial small subunit ribosomal RNA
Source: RNAcentral